This 253-nucleotide ribosomal RNA is filed under the name uncultured bacterium. RNAcentral describes it as "partial 16S ribosomal RNA". It matches the Rfam family "Bacterial small subunit ribosomal RNA", at positions 524 to 776 of the family's 1533-position model. The record is from RNAcentral.
CACGUAGGGCGCAAGCGUUGUCCGGAAUUAUUGGGCGUAAAGAGCUCGUAGGCGGUCUGUUGCGUCUGCUGUGAAAACCCGGGGCUUAACCCCUGGCUUGCAGUGGAUACGGACAGACUAGAGGUAGGUAGGGGAGAAUGGAAUUCCCGGUGUAGCGGUGAAAUGCGCAGAUAUCGGGAGGAACACCGGUGGCGAAGGCGGUUCUCUGGGCCGGACCUGACGCUGAGGAGCGAAAGCGUGGGGAGCGAACAGG